CCGAUCGAUAUACCAAUAAUCAAGUCUCCUGUAAACUGGUGGAAUACAUUGCAUCAACCUGGGAGCAUUAGCCUAUCUGGUACAUCAAUACAUGCUCCUAUGCCCAUUCCAAUCUUGUCUAACUUUGCUAACUUCCCCUUCUCCACCCGUAUACUAUUCGUUCUGGAAACACGUCUUCCUAUUCCAUCUUUUCCCGAAUCCCCUUUCACAGAAGAAAUAGAAGCUCGAGAAGUAAUACAAACUAACAAAAACCUAGUUCACUCGCUGUUGCAUCCAUGGCUCUGAAUGGUAAAAGCGCCCAACAAGGAGAAAUGGGCUAAUUCGUAGGUUCGAUUCCUACUGGAUGCGCCGCCUCUGAAAGAAAUAAGUACGUCCAUCCCUUAUACGUAAAGCAGUAAAGCAGGAUACAUUUCCAGGAAGUAAGUACGUCCAUCCCUUAUACGUAAAGCAGUAAAGCAGGAUACAUUUCAUCGUCGUUUAACAUAGGGUUAACUCAUCAAAUGAGAAAUCCAUGACUCUUCAAGAUUCAAUCCAUUCUGAAGCGUUAACGUAUUGCCUGUUUUCGUAUCGGCUAAUGUAAGCUGUGAAGCAAAGCGACUCUAUCUCCGUUAUUUGUUGAUGUGCCUAUUGCUCUGAAGUCUAUCGUCCUGGGCUGGGCGCAGGGAAAUCAUCUCUCUUCUAGAACUGUGUUACCAUAAGAGGUAUUAAAGCAAACAAGCAACGCAAGUGGUAGAGAACAAGCAAAGGAACACGUACCAAAAGAGUAGGAGUAGAAGAGAGCCCUUAGGGGGGUUAUUUGCCAUCAAAUGAGUUGAACAGAGGAGACGAGAAAGCUUGGUUCGUGCUCUUGUUUCGGAGUAUCGUUCAGUUCGAGUUAAGUCGACAACACAAUAAGGAUUCUAAUAUGGAGUCGGAUCAGAUAUACCCGUUGCGCUAACAGAGUCAUUUGUUUCAAGGGGAGGAAUUCCUGCAGUGUCGAGUGUUGGUAUUGCGGUUCAGUCAGAAUACGAGUAUCCCUCUGGUUUGAGUUUUGUAAGGAAAGGAAGCCGAAUCCCUAGCAAGUCCUGUGUUCGUCGGCCUUUCUAGCCGCUGCUUGUCUGUUCUUUCCUCUUCUUGCGUCUGUAGUAGUUGUUCGUCGGAUCAGAAGCGGAUGCCGAAGAAUGAUCCGUUGCUGGUAAUAUUACUGGGGUUCUAUACUAUAAGGUUAGCGGGUAAGCUCGGUGAAGCUGUUAACCCAACAAGUCAUUACUUAUGUAUAAGUGUUUGUAUGGUCCUCGGCUUCUCCACCUGCCUCUUCUCUUUCCACUCAAAAGUCAGUAAUUUAAGAGCACAGAGCACUAGGGUAGUCACUUAGAUUUCCCCAUCCAAUAAAAUCAAGGAGACUUCGGGCCAACUUUUCGGCUUAAGGAGCUUCGAAGGCUUAACCGAAGAGGUGGGCAAGGUGUUGCGCGUCAGCGAGGACUUAUUCAGAGCACUAGUAGUUGCUUUGCCUGGUCUUAUGGUUAGCAGUUCAACAGCCAGCCUUUCCUAAUCAGUGAGAAGGUCACUCCCCAAAAUGCCUGCUCUGUGGUGCUUAAGAUGACUCGGAGGCGCAUAUCUGAUGACAAUGCGGAGACUCUUUAACAAAGUGCAAGGUGGAUAUCAUGGAAUUUACAACUAUUUAUAUGGAACCUAUAUUUCUGGUUGAAAUGAGAGGACUUGACAUAUAAUAAAAGUCAACGUCAGUAACAACUCAAUCGGCUAACUCCCAAUUCUCAUAUAAUAUAACAGAUCAACUAGAGCUAUCGGACAUUUUGGAUUCGGUAAACUAUUCACAAGAAUGAAUUAUACCCUUUGAUCUGUCUGUAUAUAGCUAAUCAAUCCUAUUACUUCUGUUCUGGCCCCGGGGGCUUUCCACACUUUCGGAAAAACAAACUAACCCCACCUAGUUAGCGGUCCAAUGAAGAAGACUCUGUAAACCUAUUUGUAGAUCUACGAAUUGCUUUCUUGCUCUGAUUAGGCUUACACAAAUAAAGAAUGAUUUGAGAGUUCCACCAUCCUAUUAUAAUAAGAUUCUCCCAUCUCUGCCUUACUUAGUGAUAAUUCUCCUAAAGCUUAUAGGACAAAUAGAUUUUCUCUUAUUUUGUGACUCCUCGAUAUAAAGUAUAGAUAAGUAGAGUGGCAUAAGUGGGGCGACUCCUCGAUCUCAAGUAUAUAUAGGUAGGGUGGCGGGGCAGGGUCUAUGUUGAACUCCCUGGUGGUGCUGAUGUCGAAAAGAGGUAUUCCAUCUACAAAACAAACAAGCUUCCGCUUUACCUACUUACUGGAUUUUAGUACUUACUUGAUUUGAGGUCUAAGGGCGAACAUCUGUCUAUGAAAGCGACUGGUCGAAGAGGGCGGUCUCUCUAGCGUUGACAGCAACUCUUUCGGCUAAGGUAACUAUACUAUGUACAAAAAGAAUUGCCAGUAAGCCUAUUGAUCGUGCCGUAUCUUUUUCUAUUGAUUUCAAUGGUAAGGAAGAUCUCGUCGGCAUCAAUCGGACCAAUGAUCAAGCAUCGGAUGUGGAAAGUUGCCUAUGCGCCUUUCUCCUUAAUCCAAUUCACACUUAACUUUACAUAGAUGUCGUGCGAAGCCUAGAAAGACCAUCUCAGAUAAGACGGGUUGAAGCCAUUAUUCAGUAUGAAAGAGCAUAUGCAAUGAUACAAUUCAGUAUGAAAGAAGCAUAUGCAAUGAUACAAAAUGGUUCCGCGGCUAUCGAUCUGGAAAGUGCAAAGGGCAAUAUCAUGAAGACAGCGUUUUUCUUUCAUCAGCAUCGACUAUAUAGGAUCGGUACUUAGACCCGUUAGUAGGCUUUGGCGCACACCUAUUAACUUCCAAUAGAAAAAAGGCUAUGACAUCAGUACAACAAGAACGCUAUGACAUCAGUACAAGACCUUCAAGGCUUAUGUAUGUGGCUAUUUUACGAAUUCCAAAUAGAUUCCAUUUUGGCCUUUCAUCACGGAUGUCGCAACAGGAGCGGUGAGAGUCUUUCUUUUGCCUGAUUCCUUGUUGAACUUAGCACGUAGACCUGCUAUGCUCCUUGAACUUGGAACUACUUACUUUACUUCACACUGGACCUACUUAAGGGCUAAAGCAGUAGAAAGUCUCGUCUAAAGUAGCCAGUAAGAUAUCAACAACAAGCACUCCUUGACCGAGUCAUAAGUCUGGAACCGUUGAGGGCGAGAACUGAACGUCUUGUUAUCUUUGCGUAUAAGUAGGGUAGCCAGUAGUCGGCAUUAACCGCAUAGUGGGCAUGAGAAAAGAGCUUAUAUAUACGAUUCUAGUGAUUGACUUAAUGAUUCUAGUGAUUGACUUAGUGCUGAAGAAGAACCUCUAUCUCCCACAAGACUUUAAGAACCGAGUGCAGCUGAUAUUCCUUUAGCUUUAAGCGCGUAGUGGGCAUUCUCUUCGACUUCUGGAAAAGACCCAGACCCGCUGUAGCUCCUUCAUAGUCCUUAUAGCUAUUCAACAUAACCGUACCUUUCCUUUCCUUAAUUCAACAAGCAAGAGUUUUCAAGCAAGAAUCCGCAACGGGAAUUCAUUGAAAUACCUGAGUCUAGCCUUCAAUGGUGCCAUAUGAAUGAUUAGGGAAAGCCAUAAGUUCAUCAGCAGAACAAGCAAGUCGUAUAGUAAAGAUAAUAAGUAAAGAAAAAUACCAACGAGUUUUGUUUUGUAUUGGGAGAGUUAGUAGCAAGUCCUGGUUGCCUUACUCGGAACUAUACUAUAUAUAAUAUAUCGGGUUGGUUUCCUCCUUACUAUAUAUAAUAUAUCGGGUGGGUUUCCCUACUUACAAAGAAAGUCCAAAUACUGCUAUAGAAAGAAAGUCCAAAUAAGGUUUCCUCACAGCUGACAAUCAAGUCACCUCAUUGCCCGUUGAAACCUCAUAGCUUACUGCUGGCUCAAGUCAUCUCUUUCAUUCUAGGAGUGCUUUCCCUUGUUUCAAGAGCUUGUUCGUUCAUAGGAAACACAUUGCAUUUCAGUACGGUACCAACAUAAAGCCUUUCCCUUUGGACUUAUUAUUCUAUUCCCGUUAUGCCUAGCACCGCUAAAGCUCCUGCACCAGCUUCCACUCAAAUUAUUGACAACCCGUGUAGUGGGCUCUAGCACUCCAUAGGGACGGACCGUGAUACACAAGAUUCAGUACAUAGUGGCGCUCCGGAAGUCAAGUGACCAACAACAAAGAUACUUAAGAAGAUGAGUUUCCCGUUUUCUACUUGAUUCUUUUUCCCUGAACGCUUACCUGAGCACAUUGCCCCAUACUACUUUGGAUUAGAAAUGGCCUCUUUUAUCGCUUAUUUCCUCUUUCAUGCAGAUCUAUGCACCUGAACAAGCAAAACGUAAGGAGCAAAUCCGCGCUAUUCAUUCACUUCUGUCUAUGUUCCAUAAUUAUGUGCUUCUCCUAGGAAAGUGACUGUAUUCCACGAAAUGAAUUCUCUUCUCUUUCUCAUGGGAGGAUCAAAUAAGGGAACUCCUUUUCUUGGAUGAAGGGCCUAGACGGAAAGACAGGAUAGAUAGAGAUUGGAUUCUUGCUUCCACAUGCCACCCGCGAAAAGUCAAGUAAUAAGUCCCUAAUAAUGUAGCAUCAGGAAAUUAUGGUAAGCCAAGACAAGGAUAGAUCCAGGGAAAGGCAAAGCACAUCAGGAACUCAGAAAUGGGAGAAUUCUUUCUUCUGUUCCCCGUUGUGGAAGGCUGCAAAGAUCAAAGGCAAGGUGCAGUGCCGACCACCUCUUUCUAUCUCUAUUUCCUUGUCUAUAUCUCUAUUGCCUACUACCCCUUUUGAGAUUUCCGACCACCUCUUUCUAUCUCUAUUUCCUUGUCUAUAUCUCUAUAUCCUUUGUCGUCUCUAUCUCCGACCACCUCUUUCUAUCUCUAUCUCUAUUUCCUUAGUUGUUGACCCGCUUUAUUCCCUUCGUGAGACAGACCAGACCAUAUCGGAUGAACUGACUAUUAGUGUGGGUUAAUAUGCCAGACAAGUUAUCCGCUCAUAGCUAUUUUGCCUUAGGCCACUAUUUAUUGAUACAUAUAAUAUAUAGAAAGAGGAAUCCAGCCAAUAAGAGAUAUAGGAACACACUGUUAUAGAAGAGAGAUUCUGUGCUUAUAAAUUGCUGUAGGUAGAGCUGAACCUAGUCUCCCUAACUAUUAGAUUAUUGACUGAACAAGUGAUUUCUGUAGGUAGAGCUGAACCUAGUCCCCGCUCCGCUCUCGCUUCGCUCUCCCCUUCCCUUACGUCCUUGCCUGCACCGACCGGAUUGCUUUACUGAGGAAUUGAGUUAGUUCACAGACCAUUGCCCCAAACCUUUCCCCACCAAGCUCGAGAAGCAAGUUUUAGGCUAUCUCAUGAUUGUGAAAGAAUGCCUAGUCCGGAAUGGAAAAAGAAUAGGCUAGACACACAUGAAUCAAAACCAGAGAAUAUAGGCUGGACACACAUGAAUCAAAACUAGAGAAUGUAGGCUGGACACACAUGAAUCAAAACCAGAGAAUGCACUGUAGUCUAUAAGAGGAAGAGAGAGAAAAUGCACUGUAGUCUAUAAGAGGAAGAGAGAAAAUAUAGAAGGAGAAGGAGAGCCUGUUAACCUAAGAAUUGAGUCGAGUGAGUUCGCGGGGUGGAGGUUCUUUCUUACUUACUCUAAAUUGGAAGGUAAUGAAUUUAUGACUCUUCUUAGUUUGGGAGUAAUGGAUUGAUUUAGUCUUAAUAGGGCUGACGUACUUCCUCUGGUCUAGUCAGGAUGGUUUUCGCUUUGGAUCUCCUUGGUUGUCGUGGGCAUGCCAAAUUCUUUCUCAAUGAUUGGUGCGAGCGUGCCAGGAAAUUGUUAUACAAAAGGAAGAUGACUUCUAUCAGACAAUUGUCAAGAAAUUCUUUCAUAAAACCGAGGCUAGGUCCCCUCAAUGUGUAAGCGAAGCGGAUGGUAUUCAGACGACUUUGUAUGACUACUUGACUCCUAAGUGGAAUGAAAGAAAUUAAGGAUUUUAUGAAUCUAAGAAUCAAAGACGUAAAUAAGACAUUCUCAAUCUUAUGAGAGGCGCGAACUAAAGAAAGAGUUGUAUUAGAAUAUUGUAUGAUUCAGACAAGGAAAGAGCCUAGUUAACUGCUUAUAAAAUCUUGGAAGAGGGGGCCUCGUGUAAAAAAGAGAUAAGUCUACCUAACAUACUUUAGAGUAAGAGACUUCUGGGUGAGCGCCCCCCUUAACCUUGCUUCUGAAUCUCUUCGGACCGCUCUACGUGACUCCAAGCUCCAACCGCAAAGUAAGCAUCAUAGCUCUGACUACGCGAAGAGUCAUCUGCUGCACACCCACCACUUCCUUCUCUACUAACCUAAGACUCAGAAUAUGCACCUUCCAUCUCUUUACCUAAGACUUCCAAAGAGAAUAUUACCUUCCGGCUCUCCAAACCUAAGACUCAGAAGAGAAUAUUACCUUUCCUUUCCUUUACCUAAGACUAAGAAGAG
RNAcentral lists this long non-coding RNA (6463 nucleotides) under Musa acuminata (dwarf banana). Its description in RNAcentral is "long non-coding RNA (MACU_LNC007470)". The stretch from base 270 to 348 matches the Rfam family "tRNA". The record is from RNAcentral. Lineage: Eukaryota; Viridiplantae; Streptophyta; Magnoliopsida; Zingiberales; Musaceae.